CCUACGGGAGGCAGCAGUGGGGAAUCUUGCGCAAUGGGCGGAAGCCUGACGCAGCGACGCCGCGUGCGGGACGAAGGCCUUCGGGUCGUAAACCGCUUUCAGCAGGGACGAGGCCCUCACGGUGACUGUACCUGCAGAAGAAGCCCCGGCUAACUACGUGCCAGCAGCCACGGUAAUACGUAGGGGGCGAGCGUUGUCCGGAUCCAUUGGGCGUAAAGCGCGCGUAGGCGGGCUGUUAGGUCGGUGGUAAAAUACCGGGGCUCAACCCCGGCCCGCCCCCGAUACCGGCAGGCUUGAGUCUGGUAGAGGAAGGCGGAAUUCGCGGUGUAGCGGUGGAAUGCGCAGAUAUUGGGAAGAACACCGGGGGCGAAGGCAGCCUUCUGGGCCACGACUGACGCUGAGGCGCGAAAGCUAGGGGAGCGAACAGGAUUAGAUACCCGUGUAGUC
This 447-nucleotide ribosomal RNA is filed under the name uncultured bacterium. RNAcentral's name for it is "partial 16S ribosomal RNA". It matches the Rfam family "Bacterial small subunit ribosomal RNA", at positions 338 to 795 of the family's 1533-position model. The record is from RNAcentral.